Molecule: ribosomal RNA, 253 nt
Filed under: uncultured bacterium
Lineage: Bacteria
Description: partial 16S ribosomal RNA
Rfam family: Bacterial small subunit ribosomal RNA
Source: RNAcentral
UACGUAGGGACCAAGCGUUGUUCGGAUUUACUGGGCGUAAAGGGCGCGUAGGCGGCAUGACAAGUCACUUGUGAAAUCUCCGGGCUUAACUCGGAAAGGUCAACUGAUACUGUGAGACUAGAGUGCGGAAGGGGCAACUGGAAUUCUCGGUGUAGCGGUGAAAUGCGUAGAUAUCGAGAGGAACACCUGCGGCGAAGGCGGGUUGCUGGGCCGACACUGACGCUGAUGCGCGAAAGCCAGGGGAGCGAACGGG